Molecule: ribosomal RNA, 491 nt
Filed under: uncultured bacterium
Lineage: Bacteria
Description: partial 16S ribosomal RNA
Rfam family: Bacterial small subunit ribosomal RNA
Source: RNAcentral
AGUGAACGCUGGCGGUAGGCCUAACACAUGCAAGUCGAACGGCAGCACAGUAAGAGCUUGCUCUUACGGGUGGCGAGUGGCGGACGGGUGAGGAAUACAUCGGAAUCUACUUUUUCGUGGGGGAUAACGUAGGGAAACUUACGCUAAUACCGCAUACGACCUACGGGUGAAAGCAGGGGAUCUUCGGACCUUGCGCGAUUGAAUGAGCCGAUGUCGGAUUAGCUAGUUGGCGGGGUAAAGGCCCACCAAGGCGACGAUCCGUAGCUGGUCUGAGAGGAUGAUCAGCCAAACUGGAACUGAGAAACGGUCCAGACUCCUACGGGAGGCAGCAGGGGGGAAUAUUGAACAAUGGGCGAAAGCCUAAUCCAGCCAUACCGCGUGGGUGAAGAAGGCCUUCGGGUUGUAAGCCCUUUUGUUGGGAAAGAAAAGCAGCAGGUUAAUACCCCGCUGUUCUGACGGUACCCAAAGAAUAAGCACCGGCUAACCUCGUG